CCUUAGUAGCGGCGAGUGAGCGGCAAAAGCUCAAAUUUGAAAUCUGGCUCUUUCAGAGUCCGAGUUGUAAUUUGAAGAAGGUAUCUUUGGGCCUGGCUCUUGUCUAUGUUUCUUGGAACAGAACGUCACAGAGGGUGAGAAUCCCGUGCGAUGAGAUGACCCAGGUCCGUGUAAAGUUCCUUCGACGAGUCGAGUUGUUUGGGAAUGCAGCUCUAAGUGGGUGGUAAAUUCCAUCUAAAGCUAAAUAUUGGCGAGAGACCGAUAGCGAACAAGUACAGUGAUGGAAAGAUGAAAAGAACUUUGAAAAGAGAGUGAAAAAGUACGUGAAAUUGUUGAAAGGGAAGGGCUUGAGAUCAGACUUGGCAUUUUGCAUGUUGCUUCUUCGGGGGCGGCCUCUGCGGUUUGUCGGGCCAGCAUCAGUUUGGGCGGCAGGACAAUCGCGUGGGAAUGUGGCACGGCCUCGGCUGUGUGUUAUAGCCCGCGUGGAUACUGCCAGCCUAGACUGAGGACUGCGGUUUAUACCUAGGAUGUUGGCAUAAUGAUCUUAAGUCGCCCGUCUUGAAAACAG
This 568-nucleotide ribosomal RNA is filed under the name Candida viswanathii. RNAcentral's name for it is "partial large subunit ribosomal RNA". It matches the Rfam family "Eukaryotic large subunit ribosomal RNA", at positions 78 to 664 of the family's 3401-position model. Lineage: Eukaryota; Fungi; Ascomycota; Pichiomycetes; Serinales; Debaryomycetaceae. The record is from RNAcentral.